UAGAGGAGGAAAAGAAACCAACCGGGAUUGCCUUAGUAACGGCGAGUGAAGCGGCAAAAGCUCAAAUUUGAAAUCUGGUACCUUUGGUGCCCGAGUUGUAAUUUGUAGAAGGUAACUUUGGGGCUGGUCCUUGUCUAUGUUCCUUGGAACAGGACGUCAUAGAGGGUGAGAAUCCCGUGUGGCGAGGAUCCCAGUUCUUUGUAAAGUGCUUUCGAAGAGUCGAGUUGUUUGGGAAUGCAGCUCUAAGUGGGUGGUAAAUUCCAUCUAAAGCUAAAUAUUGGCGAGAGACCGAUAGCGAACAAGUACAGUGAUGGAAAGAUGAAAAGAACUUUGAAAAGAGAGUGAAAAAGUACGUGAAAUUGUUGAAAGGGAAGGGCAUUUGAUCAGACAUGGUGUUUUGCGCCCUCUGCUCCUUGUGGGUGGGGGAAUCUCGCAGCUCACUGGGCCAGCAUCGGUUUUGGCGGCAGGAUAAAUCUGCAGGAAUGUAACUUGCCUCGGUAAGUAUUAUAGCCUGUAGGAAUACUGCCAGCUGGGACUGAGGACUGCGACUUUACGUCAAGGAUGCUGGCAUAAUGGUUAUAUGCCGCCCGUCUUGA
This 596-nucleotide ribosomal RNA is filed under the name saccharomycete sp. NZSBMV7-E8. Its description in RNAcentral is "eukaryotic LSU rRNA". It matches the Rfam family "Eukaryotic large subunit ribosomal RNA", at positions 48 to 657 of the family's 3401-position model. The record is from RNAcentral. Lineage: Eukaryota; Fungi; Ascomycota; Saccharomycetes.